This 26-nucleotide non-coding RNA is filed under the name Mus musculus (house mouse). The record is from RNAcentral. Lineage: Eukaryota; Metazoa; Chordata; Mammalia; Rodentia; Muridae.
UAAUAGGGGGCACUAGAGGCAUAGCA